AGAUUGAACGCUGGCGGCAUGCCUUACACAUGCAAGUCGAACGGCAGCACGGGAGCAAUCCUGGUGGCGAGUGGCGAACGGGUGAGUAAUACAUCGGAACGUGCCCAAUCGUGGGGGAUAACGCAGCGAAAGCUGUGCUAAUACCGCAUAAGAUCUACGGAUGAAUGCAGGGGAUCGCAAGACCUUGCGCGAAUGGAGCGGCCGAUGGCAGAUUAGGUAGUUGGUGAGGUAAAGGCUCACCAAGCCUUCGAUCUGUAGCUGGUCUGAGAGGACGACCAGCCACACUGGGACUGAGACACGGCCAGACUCCGUAGGGAGCAGCAGGUGGGGAAUUUUGGACAAGUGGCGAAAGCCUGAUCCAGCCAGUCGCCGCGUGCAGGAUGGAAGGUCCGUU
Molecule: ribosomal RNA, 394 nt
Filed under: uncultured soil bacterium
Lineage: Bacteria
Description: bacterial SSU rRNA
Rfam family: Bacterial small subunit ribosomal RNA
Source: RNAcentral